This 56-nucleotide non-coding RNA is filed under the name unclassified sequences. Its description in RNAcentral is "S4-Clostridia ribosomal protein leader". It matches the Rfam family "S4-Clostridia ribosomal protein leader". The record is from RNAcentral.
GAAAGGCCGUCAAAUCGCCGGUGACGGCUGGGUGUGACCGAGACACCCCAGUUAGG